RNAcentral lists this small RNA (144 nucleotides) under Aurantimonas sp. Leaf443. RNAcentral describes it as "Alphaproteobacterial sRNA ar45". It matches the Rfam family "Alphaproteobacterial sRNA ar45". Lineage: Bacteria; Pseudomonadati; Pseudomonadota; Alphaproteobacteria; Hyphomicrobiales; Aurantimonadaceae. The record is from Rfam by way of RNAcentral.
GCCCCAAGUCGCACGUGCCCUUGGGCGUCCCCCGGUCCUCGAAUGCGAGGGUUGCCGGGACGGUACCUGGACUUAACACAUCCAGUCGUUUCCGCUGCUGGCGGAUUCGAGGACGCCCUCAAAGCAACGACGGUCCGGGCCUUU